CCUACGGGUGACAGCAGUGGGGAAUAUUGGGCAAUGGGCGCAAGCCUGACCCAGCCACGCCGCGUGAAGGAAGAAGGCUCUCGGGUUGUAAACUUCCUUUUACAGGGAAGAGCAGCACACGGUACCUGUCGACUUACCCACGGCUAACUACGUGCCAUCAGCCGCGUCAAUACGUAGGGGGCCAGCGAUAUCCGGAUUUCCUGGGUGGAACGGGGGCGAAGACGGGGAUGCAAGCGAGGAGUGAACGCCCGGGGCCCAACCCCGGGACUGCUCUUGGAACUGCGUGGCUAGAGUGCAGGAGGGGCAGGCGGAAUGCGUGGUGUAGCGGUGAAAUGCGUAGAUAUCAGGAGGAACACCGGGGGCGAAGGCGGCCUGCUGGACUGAAACUGACGUUGAGGCCCGAAAGCGUGGGGAGCAAACAGGAUUAGAUACCCUGGUAGUC
Molecule: ribosomal RNA, 442 nt
Filed under: uncultured bacterium
Lineage: Bacteria
Description: partial 16S ribosomal RNA
Rfam family: Bacterial small subunit ribosomal RNA
Source: RNAcentral